This 513-nucleotide ribosomal RNA is filed under the name uncultured bacterium. RNAcentral describes it as "partial 16S ribosomal RNA". It matches the Rfam family "Bacterial small subunit ribosomal RNA", at positions 28 to 523 of the family's 1533-position model. The record is from RNAcentral.
GAUGAACGCUGGCGGCGUGCCUAAUACAUGCAAGUCGAACGCACAGCGAAAGGUGCUUGCACCUUUCAAGUGAGUGGCGAACGGGUGAGUAACACGUGGACAACCUGCCUCAAGGCUGGGGAUAACAUUUGGAAACAGAUGCUAAUACCGAAUAAAACUUAGUGUCGCAUGACACAAAGUUAAAAGGCGCUUUGGCGUCACCUAGAGAUGGAUCCGCGGUGCAUUAGUUAGUUGGUGGGGUAAAGGCCUACCAAGACAAUGAUGCAUAGCCGAGUUGAGAGACGGAGCGGCCACAUUGGGACUGAGAGACGGCCCAAACUCCUACGGGGGGCUGCAGUAGGGAAUCUUCCGCAAUGGGCGAAAGCCUGAUGGAGCAACGCCGCGUGUGUGAUGAAGGCUUUCGGGUCGUAAAGCACUGUUGGAUGGGAAGAACAGCUAGAAUAGGGAAUGAUUUUAGUUUGACGGUACCAUACCAGAAGGGGACGGCUAAAUGCGUGCCAGCCGCCGCAGUAA